RNAcentral lists this ribosomal RNA (428 nucleotides) under Capnocytophaga granulosa. RNAcentral describes it as "bacterial SSU rRNA". It matches the Rfam family "Bacterial small subunit ribosomal RNA", at positions 28 to 461 of the family's 1533-position model. The record is from RNAcentral. Lineage: Bacteria; Pseudomonadati; Bacteroidota; Flavobacteriia; Flavobacteriales; Flavobacteriaceae.
GAUGAGCGCUAGCGGCAGGCCUAACACAUGCAAGUCGAGGGAGAAGCCCUUCGGGGCAGAAACCGGCGCACGGGUGCGUAACGCGUAUGCAACCUACCUUUCACAGGGGGAUAGCCCGAAGAAAUUUGGAUUAAUACCCCAUAAUAUUAUUGGAUGGCAUCAUUUGAUAAUUAAAAUUACGAUGGUGAAAGAUGGGCAUGCGUCCUAUUAGCUAGUUGGAGUGGUAACGGCACCCCAAGGCUACGAUAGGUAGGGGUCCUGAGAGGGAGAUCCCCCACACUGGUACUGAGACAGGGACCAGACUCCUACGGGAGGCAGCAGUGAGGAAUAUUGGUCAAUGGUCGGAAGACUGAACCAGCCAUGCCGCGUGCAGGAAGAAUGCCUUAUGGGUUGUAAACUGCUUUUAUAUGGAAGAAUAAGGAGUACGU